Molecule: ribosomal RNA, 348 nt
Filed under: Microsporidium sp.
Lineage: Eukaryota; Fungi; Microsporidia
Description: SSU rRNA
Rfam family: Microsporidia small subunit ribosomal RNA
Source: RNAcentral
GGAUGCUGCAGUUAAAGGGUCCGUAGUUUGCCGGGGGCGUACUGUGGGGAAAGCGUUCUUCCCGAAGGGGCGAGCGAGCAUGGGACGCGGCGGAGGGAGGAACAGAUGGGGGCGACAGGAUUCGGCAGCUAGAGGUGAAAAUCAGUGACCUGGCGAGGACUCCCUGGGGCGAAGGCGGUGGCCAAGGAUGUGUCCGUUGAUAAAGGGCGAGAGCCGGAGGAUCGAAGAUGAUUAGAUACCGUCGUAGUUCCGGCUGUAAACGAUGCCGACUGGGCGAGGCCUUGUGGCUGUGGCCUGCGAGAAAUCAAGAGUUUUUGGGCUCUGGGGAUAGUACGCUCGCAAGGGUGA